CCUGAAGUACCUCAGAGCCAGAGAGCCAUUAGGAAGGUCUGCCAGAAACCUUCUGUCCACGCUGUACAAUCACACAGACAAACUGAUCUUCAGCUGACUAUUGAUGAGGAUCUGCAGGGCACAAUACUCUAGGGAAGUAACUAUGAACUUUUUGUUGUUCUCCAGUCAGAAGACACUUCAUUCCUCCAUGUGGAGACAGAACUAGAUGGCUGCCUUAUAGAAUGUCCCUAAGGAGAAUGGUUUAUUGUUUUGGACACUAGCAACUAUCCUAGUAAAGAUACUAACAGUAGAUGUUUACUAUGCUUGGCAGAUUAGAACAACAAAAAUGGGCUUUGCAUCAUCCUGAAGAGCAUAGAAAUGAGGGUACCAGCAGGAAACAUGGGAUGAAGUGCAGCUAUUCCACAUGUGGCAAACCCAGUGCCUGUUGAAUACAUCAGAGAACUGGCUGUGAGUGAGAAGCCCUGUUGUUGGAAACAAGUUUUCUGUGGCCUUCGGCUUGGUGUUGAGUGAGCUAGGACUUGCUGCAUGUGGGACUCUGCUGGGAGAGCUCCAAAAAGAGAAAGAACUGGAAGGAACUGUCAGCAGCUGUCCAGGGGCUGAGCUGGGGUCUGACAUGUGUGGAAAUCAGCUGAGAGUGGAGAUGAGGCCAUCUGGAAACAAUGUCCUUCGGCCAGAGUGGGUGCCUUCAACUGAGAACACUGGACAGUGGAUCCUGUCUGCAGCCUGCACAGCGGUUUCUGAAAAUAGCCAGACAAGGCAAACAAGAAGAAAAAACCCACAUCUUACACUACUUGAAGUAAAAAAGGAGCAAAAGGGAAUGAAUAUGAAUCAAACAUUUUAUUAUUUGGCUUUAGGAUUGUCAGUAGUAGAUGCUGUUGUCCCAGCUAACACAGCCACCUUCUUGGAGAGAGACAAUUAAGCUACACAUUUCAAAGAUGGGCCAAAGUUUAUUCAGCUUUAGGUUUGGAAGUCACAUGGAACUCCAUCUCUGCUUUUCAGAGUAAAUUAUGACAAGAAGAAUAUGGGCUUACUCAAACCUUAUUUUAAAACCUCCUGCAGUAUAAAUGGAUACUUUACCAUAACAUGAACCAGCACCGAUAACUGUGUGGUGAACCCAUGAUCUUCAGUGGGAUCUACAACACAGCCCAAGCAAUCUAAAGUUCUGUUUAAGUCAAAGAAACGCUGGAAGUCUUCAAAUGUCCCUGACCUUAUCCUCAAGCUCUAAGGACUUUAGGAAUGCCACUCCUGCACUCCUGCAGCUGCCCUGAGCCCAGGUGGUGAUAUGGUUUUUCAGAAUAACUGGUCACUGUGGAUCCCCUCAGCAGUUGCACCCCUGUGCAGUAUGCCAGCUUGCACUGCAAAAAACACCGUCAGUGGUCAACUUCUUGACCAAAACCUCUAAGAUGGGGGCAUUCAGAGAGGCUUUUUCCCACUCAAAAAAUUCAGGUGCCCUCCUGCAGAGUCGUGUCUAGAAUCAAACACUUCUGCUCAAUAAGCAAGCCAGGAGUCAACGAGCACGUACGACACGGGACAUGUGGAAACCAAAUCACAGACAAAUUGACCUGAAUCCAGGAAAAGGACAAGCAGGGGGACAGUACACUAACCUGCAGUAAUGCAGUGUUUGGGAAAUUGCCACAACACAGAUGCAGAUGAAUGCUGCAUGACUUCAGAAAUCUGUUCUCUCUGUCAUAUCCCACCCAUAACCAGGGGCGUUGAGGCUCAGUGGGAGGGAACAAGACAACAGGCUUUCUUAUGGCAUCUUCUUGUGACCUCCCCACUGCAUGCCACUAAAAGAAAGUCUGCCCGUUUGUGCCUGAAGGUUUGACUUUCUGCCAUCUCCCUUUCCUAUUUUCUGACAUUUUCUUUUCAGAUUCAUUGAACCAUACCUUCUUUAUUGCCUUUCUAAUGUUUCACUAGACAGGUAUAAAGAUCUCUGGCUGUAUUCUCCUGUUCAGAAGCUGCUCAGGAUUGUUAAGCAAUAGUUCAGGCAAUACCUGAACUAAGGUAUUCACAAAGCUUAGUGAUGAAAAUCAGAGCUUUCCUAAGCACAGCAAUGACACCUGGUGGCAAAACACAGGGAUCACGUUCUUCUAGAGCUUCUGUGCAGCUUCUUUUGUCAUGUCCUAUUCCUCAACUCCAUCAUGGCCAGGGAACAAAUCUACCUAAACUGAAACAAGGCAGAUUCAAAUUACACUUCAAAAAAAAAAUUCUCUGGGCACAGAGAGCAAAAAUUACUUGGAGAUGGUGUGGCGCCAUCACCUCAAAGGUCUGAGAGGCCUGGUUAGACAAGCAUGUCAGAGCUGAUCUUCCUUGAGGAGAGCACAGUGAAGUAGAGAACUUCCCUGCAUGUUUUUCUACACUUUUGUUAACUUUGUGCAGCUGAAGCUGGUUCAAAGAAGGACGUUUCUUUAAGAAAUGCCUGAGAGCACUCCAUGUAAAUAUUUAUUCCUGUUAUCAGAAACUAAUUCCUUGUCUUUUCCUACUAUAAAACAGUAUAGUGAUUUGUCUCUGUUUACUGUGUAUGCAUUAGUUGGCCAUGCCUAAAAUAUGCAAGUGUGUCCAUCUUGAAAACACUGAGAACAAUACAGCCAGGUCUGGAGAUUGCAAAUGAGGAAUAAACUUGAUCUGAUGCUGGGCUGAUUUUCAUGUGCUACAACCAAUUCAACUGUUCUCAUCAGUAACUUUACACUGAACUUAUUGCAAGAAUGAGGCUUUAGGGCUUCUUGAGCCAUCACUUCUCCACAGAGGACUUCUGCACAGCUGCAGCCUGCUGACUGAAAGCAAAUCACCACCGUAGUAUGGUCGUGUGUAAUGCUGCUGAUUCCACCAGUGAAGAGUUGAGCACCUACAGCAUUUAGGAAAGGGUUAGAAACUUCUUCAGUGUGAGUCCAGGUCUGCCAAGAACAGCCUUUUCUAGACAGCUGAAAAACUGUAGGAUGUGGAAGGUUGCAGAUGGCAGUGGUAGUCAGAGGGCCAUGCCCAUCGAAGUCCCACUCUACUCAUUUACUGCUCCAUCGCACCAGGGAACACAUCCCACGGACAGCAUCCAGUUCGUGAAAAGAGGCAUGAACUUCAGCCUCAUAUGACCUGAUUAGGUUAGCACAGACAGAGAACAGGUAAACAGCAUCAACACCAACUACGGGCUGAGGCACCAGUGAGCAACAUACCAGACCAGUUAGGAUGCCACGUCCUCACGCUCUUCAGCCAACCGGUGUGAAAGCUGUACUUAUUCAGGCACUGCAGCUACCUGGCUAGUCCCUGGAGAAAAAAGGGAUGGGGCAGGCUCAUGGGGCUGAAGUGAAGCCUCACUUCCAAGGGGUCCACUUCACUACUUUGCAGAAGCACUUCAGUUAGUUAGAAAUAAGCUGAAUCAGAACAUCCAGCCAAGACAAAGAUUAUGACUUCUUUUUUUAAAGGAAAAUAUUUGACAGACAAUACAUUACAAACAGGAUCAUGUGACUAAACAGGAAUACUGAAUCCUAGUAAGUGACUUAUAAGGAAGAGUUCUUGUAUCCUAGGAUUGUUCUGAGGCUGUGUGAUAAAUUUGACUAAGGAGAUGAAGAAAUAAUUAAAAGUCAUUGUGUCACCUCAAUUCAACACGCACAAUGUGCCAACCAAGGCACAUGAUUUGCACCUGUGCUGACACCCAUCCCACUCAAGCUCAAGUGUAAGCACUGCCUUAAUCCCACACUCAUAUUUCAUCUAUUGACCCCACCUAACUAAACACAAUAUACAAACUGGGCAGUUCAGUUGAUUGCAACUGUGUGUUGAGAAGUUCAGGAAAAUUACAAUGUUUGUUUGUUUGUUUGUUUUGAGUGUUCAUGCACACUUUGCAACAGGCACUAGUGGUGCAGGUUUUGGAGUCACAGGAACGCUUGUCAUUAAUUGCUUUUAAGAAAAUUUAGAGUAGAAAUGGAGAAGAAUGCAUACAUUAAAAUAGUAACUACUAAUGCUCUUGGCUAUUACACCCAAAUUUGUAUGUAUAAAAAAGUAAUAUUAAAAAAUUAAAUUAA
Long non-coding RNA from Pipra filicauda (Wire-tailed manakin), 4013 nucleotides. RefSeq lists it as uncharacterized. The record is from RefSeq and is a predicted model, not a curated record. The transcript is spliced from 5 exons. Lineage: Eukaryota; Metazoa; Chordata; Aves; Passeriformes; Pipridae.